CCCUUCCCUGCACACACACACACAGUGAACAUAUGAAAAGAAUUUUUACUAGUAUCUGGUAUUUAUUUUAAUAAAUGUGUUGUACAUAUUUGAGUGUCAUUUUUAAGACUAUGGCAUCUCCUUUAUGCAGUUCCGCUCUUGCAGCAGUCUAACUCCCACAUAGAGUGCAUUGCAGUAGUCCAAGCCGGAUAUAACUAGAGCAUGCACCACUCUGGCGAGACAGUCCGCAGGCAGGUAGGGUCUCAGCUUGUGUACCAGAUGGAGCUGGUAGACAGCUGCCCUGGACACAGAAUUGACCUGCACCUUCAUAGACAGCUGUGAGUCCAAAAUGACUCCCAGGCUGCACACCUUGGUCUUCAGAGGCAUGUUUACCUCGUUCAAGACCAGGGAGUUCCCCACACCCGCCAGCCUCCUGUCCCCACAAAACAGUACUUCUAUCUUGUCAGGAUUUAACCUCAAUCUGUUAGCUGCUAUCCAUCUUCCAACUGCCUAAAGACACUCACUCAGGACCUUCAUUGCCUUCACUGGUUCCUAUUUAAAAGAGAGGAAGUCAACUCAAACUGAAAUCAGUAUGUCAAAGGGACUUAACACUUCGUUUCAGUGGGACUUAGGUGUGUCUAACAUUCUUCUGGAUUAUUUCCAUUAUCUGUCCUUGUUGAUAUCACUUACUUGUAGAGCAUCAACUAGAAGAGACAGACUGUUUCGCAAAAGCCUUCUCAGCUAAGAUUUCCUGGAAAUAUCUUUACUUGUCUGUGUUACAAGAACACAAGGAGGAUGGAGAAUGAUACAGACCAGGCAUGAUGCUUUAAAAUAAUAACGAUACUUUGACAAAGCUGAUAUAACAUGCUUUCAACUCUUUGGUGUUCUACUUCUAAGCACCUAAUAAAACUACACAAAAUUGCAUUCAUCACCUGAAGUUCUCUCAUAAGCCUGUUUGGAGCAAAUACUGAAAGAAUCAUAGAAUUGGAGGGCACCCAACAGUCAUCUAGUCCAACCCCCUGUAAUGCAGACAUCUUAGCUAAAGCAUCCAUGACAGGUGGCCAUCCAACCAUUGCUUUAAAAACUCCCAAGGAAGGAGAGUCUACCACCUCUCAUGGGAAUCUGUUCCACUGCUGAACUGCUCUUAAAAGUUUUUCCGAAUGAUGAGUUGAAUCUCCAAAGUUAGCAGCCAACUGCUUUUUGCUGCCAUUUAGAACUUCAUAGUUCACUUCAUUUGCCUGUCACUCUAGAACUCAAUCCCAAGAAACAGUGCUUUUGUGAAAAGUUAUUAAGCUAUAUACUUUGUCUAAUUCCAUAUAUUAAUCCUUUAAAAAUGUAUUGCAAACAUCUGUGCCUUACUGUUUUCCCCUCCAUAAUAAAAGUCUGCCUGAUAAAGCUGAACUAGGACAUUAAGGGCUCUCCGUCUUUAAGGCUGCAAUAAUAGUCACACUUUCUUGAGAGCAGGCCUUAUUGAACACAAUACACCUCAUUUCAAAGCUGACAUGUACAGGAUUGUGCUGAAAGGCCCUCUUUGGUAAGCCAUCAGCAUUUCCCAUUGCCAGUGUAUCUCCAUCUUUGUAAAAAAUACAUGUCUGUUUGCUUUUGUGUACAUGCACACACAUAUAUAUGUUUUGAAUGAAGGGAAAGUAGGUGUCAAAUAAUAUAAAUAAAUAAAACAAGGUUUCUACAGAAACAAAUUUUAGUCCUAUACAAUGAAAUCAACAAGGACAUUACAGUAAAAAUGCUCACUUAACUCCUAAUAAUACUGAAGCAUUUCUCUUUUGAACAGUAUCAGCCAUCAAUUUCUCUAGUUUCUAGGGUUUUGAUUACAUUUUGGAGCUUUCCAGGAUAGAACCCCCCCCCCCCCUUUGGCUACUACAGACAGAUUCAGAGCCAAAAGUCUUACAGAAACUUGUAGAGAAUUAUCCAAGCUAUUAAGCAAAACAAUUUUAUGAUCAAAAAUAAGUGUGGCCCCCUGGUCCUUGAUCAUUUACCUCCAGAACUUGUUUCCAGUAUCUUUGUAUCGUAUUAAAACUCCACUAAAGACAUAAAAACCUGCACUAAUUGCAGUGCUUUCCCAACUCAUAAACCAAUUUGCCUCUGAUAUUUCAUUUGAUCUACCGAAGUUCAUAUCUCAGAAAACAAUCUUAUGGAACAGAAGAAACUGAAGAGUUUUUAAUGUUGCUACAUAGACCAUUUCCUCCCAGACACUUGAACAUUCAGAUUUCAGAAGCAGCCAACAUGGCAUGGCACAGCUGCAGAGCUGGUAUUCUUGCAGUGGAUGCUUACCAGGAAAGUGUGGGGCUGAGGAAGGGCAAUGGCAAGGUUUGGGUAGCACAAGUGCACCUGAUUGGUUUCACGGCACUGUUCUGGUAAAUGGUAGUGGUAAAGCUGCCCAGAGGCACCUACCUAAGGUAGACCUUUAAAAUAAGAAAGAGAAAUUAAGGAUGGCUGAAUGAGGUGAAAUUUGGUCCAUUUGAUGACCAGAAAAUAAUCUGAGCUUUCCUGUGUUUUAGAAAGCCAAAUAGAGGAAUAGUUAUGGAUCCCAAAGGAACUAGGCCUGACAAUGUGAGUAGUUAAGUGAGCUAAACUAAGUUUUAAAAAGGAUCAAGCAUAGCAGAAGUAUAGAAGAAAUCAAGAUGUUUGGUGAGAUCCUUGAAGAGAGUCAGAGUGCAAUAAAUAAGCAAAGAUUGACUUUCUGAAAUCCAGAAAAUUAAUGUCACUGUCAGCAGCACUAACACUUAAGGCAGAGAAGAUAAAGGUAGAGUAGCUGAAACAACAGCCUGCUCAGCCGGAAAUAUAGAUAUGUGGAGAAUCCAUUUCUGGGAAUAAAGAUACAAAGUUGGGAAUUAUAUCUGUCACUGAAACCUCACUUGAGUAAUGGAAAAGGCAUGUCCUUUAUGGAAGUUUGACCUUUUUCUCAGUUUAGGGGACUUGUCCAGGAUUUGCAAAUUGCAAUACAAUGCUGUCUUCCUGGCAGACAAGCUGGAAAUUCUGAAAUCACUUUUGAACUGAAAAGCUUUUUGUGCAACAGUAUUUUGGUUAACUCUUAGAAUUAGAACAGGGAUGUUUCCUCUUAAUUUUGCAGUGAUGGGAGUGACUGGAGUAGGGAAAAUGAGUGGCACAUUGGGAAGUGAUCCUAACCAUACCUUAAAGUAAGAAAGUGUAGAGCUCAAGUUGUAUGUACAAGUCACAUACUGUUUAGAACCGUUCCAAUACUAUGCUUCUAUUGAUUUUCAGUGUUUGACUGGAAAAUACCAGGGUUUGACUCUGAAACUGGGGUUCUUAAUUCUACAUCUACACUUGCCUAAUGAACAUGUUAGUGGCCUGUUUAAUCUCCGCCCCCCCUGUAAAUAGGGAUGACAGAGAAUUCUUAUGAAAAUGGCCUCUGGAACUGAGGUAUUAAAGAUUGGUGGGUGGGUUUCAAGGUGCCAAUAUCGUCAGCUUUGGGGCCACUUUUGGAUAUGAAGUUAUUGGAUAUUGUUAUCUGAGCUUUAUUUUUAUAUAUUUCCAGUGAACUUUUAAUUGUUGAUUUUUUUAGUGUUGCAUUGCAGUGAUACUGUAAAUUUUAUUAGGUAUCAUGGUUACUCACUGUACUACUGUAUUUAGGCUGCACCUUGAGCACAGAUGUGUUUGUGGGAAAUGUGGUAUUUAAAAAAUAGAAUAAAACUAACUAUGAAAGUGAAAAAAUAAGGCAUUUCAAGAUAUUGCAAAUAUGAAAUACAUUGUAAUAAAUGUAAACAUACAUUUUGUAUAUUAUGCAAAAAAGCAUUUGAAAUGAACUCACGAGCCUUGUUUCAAACACUGUUAGUAGCUGUAUUCUAACUACAACAGCAGCGUUUACCAAACUAUAUCACUUUUAAUGUUAUUACUAGGGAUGUGCAGUAGAUUCAGGUGGAUCUCAAAUUUGAUGAAAGUGAGGGAUUCUCGGCUUGUCCAAGGCAAAGUGGGAUGUGUCUGAGGUGCCCUGAACUGAAAUGGGGACCUCUGAAGCGCUUUGGGGCUACAAUGUGGGUGAACUACAGGCACUCAGUUAAAAUUUAUUUUUAAAUGGCCUGCUCAUGAACAUUCCCCAUGUGACUGAGAGCCCAACAGGGUAAGAGUGCUAAACCAUGCAUGGAGGCCACACAAGUACAGCAGGCUCCCCACUGCAUACUUCCCCCCUCCAAAGCAUAGAGAGCAGCUCUAGUCAUGGUUGAUUAUAAGGGCUCCUGUCAUUUCAUAACUUUUGACAUGUUCCCUGCAUAUUUUAGGAUUUUCUUCCACAACAGUGAGCACUAGGAACUUCCUUUUGUUAAAAUGAACACUUUGGAAAUCUAACAUAGGCUCAGGGGGCACGAAAUCCACAUUUUGUCUAAAUUAGCUCAAACCUGCUUAGCUGAGACAUUUCUCUUUGCCUAAUACAAUUUUAAUCUGUGCAAGUAGUAUGAUCAUAUUCAGUAUUCAUUAUCUUUUCCAGGUGGAUAUUUCUGGCACAUAAAACAGAAAAAAAAAAUAGCAGCAAUAAAAGAAGAAUUUUGCCUACGGUGUAGUGAAAGCUGCAAAAUGUGCCGAGGCAUAUACAGGCAUAUACAAACAGCAAUAGGAAUGAUUAUAAAAAUGAUGUAUGGGGAAAUAAUAAAAACUAUAAUCCCUAGAGGGGAUUUUGGAUGUUUCAGAGGGGAAAAUACUAGAGGAAAUUUUAAAGCUUAACCAUCUUUUAUCAAAACAAUUUGAGCAGAGAUAUAUUAUAUUCUGUUUGUUUCAAGUCAAUCAGCCACAGUUAUAUAGAAAAGCAUAAUGAACUCUUUGUUAUACAACAAAUAUAUAUUUACUUAUUAAAAAGUAAUAGAAUGUGUAUGAUUUCAUUCAUUAAUUUAAUGUGCAUUAAUAUAUAAUAAUGGCAGUAAUGGAUUGAGCAGUCAUUAUUGCUUUUAUUAUAAAUCAGUACUCAUUAAAUGAAUUAAUUAGCACCAUAGAUUAGAGGCAGGCAAUACUUCACCUGUAAUGUUGACGGGAUCCACUAUGAAUGCUUGGACAUUGAAGGUAAGAGGGAAAAGGCAGGCCUUAGCAGACUGGAUGCAGCCCACCCCAUGCAUUUUAUAAGCAACCUUCUCGACAUUAGAGCAGCCUCCCCCAACCUGGUGUUCACCAGAUGUUGUUGGACUACAAGACCCAUCAACCCCAGUCAGCAUGGCCAAUUGUCAGGGAUGAUGGGAGUUGUAGUCUAACAAACAACGGAAGUGCAUCAGGUUGGGAAAGGCUGCAUAAGAGCUUCAGGUAUGUAAUGCCCACUGCUAAUUCAGAAAUGAAGGGCUCUCAAAUGAGACAAAGUUACCAAACAGAAAGGAGCCUCCAUUUACCUGCUGCUUUUCUUUUUUGUCAGCACAAUAAUCUGUGAGCGGCAAUGUACUGAAGAGGCCAAAGAUGUUAGACUUUGAACUUUUUAGUACAUCCCCAGCUACUGAUCAUUUCCUUAGCAGACAGUUGCUUUCAUUUUAUUGCUGUUUCCAGCAUCUUUCAGAGCAUAUCUGCAACAUAGAUUUAAAUCAGUUUAAUAGUAAUUUCCCUUCCCCAGGGAAUUCUGGGAACUGUAGCUCUUUGAGUAAUCUUGAAGUGAACUUUCAAAAUCUUCACCCAGCUACAGUUCUCAGGAUUCUCUGGUGAAAGACAUGAUUGCCAAAUUUUGUUCUCUUGUCUCUUCAUGAGUGGCGAAGGGUCUUCACUUCAGAAAGGCACUUUACAAUUUGUGGAGGGUUGCAAAGGUGAUGUAUGUGAUGGGCUGGAAUUGGUGGUGCUUGCUAACCUGCCCCUACUUUCUCUCUCUCAUGUGAAAGUUAUCACAAGGGGAGGGGGGAUGAAGGACCAAAUAGGGCUAGUAUAACUUACAAUGCAGAGAGUCAUCUGGUUUUUGUCAUUUAGGGAGGGGGCGGGAUAGCGAACCUGAUGUGAACAUACAUUUCUGGGUCUAAAAGGCUCUCAGGCUGUCCAUUUUUAUUAAACAUAUAUAUGCUAAAUUGGGGUGUGCUCAGGGUUUUGUUUGGGGUGGUUGAAAGUGGAAUGCAAUUAUGAAAGAAUGUUAACCCUAGAUUAACCUUUGACCUCUGAAUCAAUUUAGCUGGUUUGCCCUAUUCACCCUAGAUAGAAAUACUUCACUGAGGCAGGCAUAUGAAAUACCAAAUGACUUUGGGAAAGGCACAGCAGAACUUUUUGAAAUGCUAUCCAAAUCUUAAAAAGGGAAACUAAAAACCAGUGUGCUUUUAAGCAAUUAAAUUAACAUUAAAUUGCAAUCUAAAUAUAAGUUUCUGUGGGGUUUUUUUUAAUUGGGAUCAGUUAAGAAAGAUGCAUGUGUUUGUGUCUGCCCAUGUGUAUGUGUGGUAGGUGAACAGUAUGCCAAAACAAAUAGCACUGGAGCUUUUAAGGAGCAGAUGCACCACAGCCUCUUUAAGGGAAGUGGGCACCAUAUUAUCAUGCAACAAUGCAUUCAUUACACUCAGAACCCACAUGGCCACCCCACUCAAACUAUCUUAAACCAACAAGUCCAGGGGGCAUGUGAUCAAAUGACUGCAAUUAUUUUGCCCACAUCACCAGACUACAUCAAGUGGAAAUAAUCUCAUAACACUGGGCCCACAGAGCUAGGUGAUUUUAUCUCCAACUGCUUGCAGCUAGCCAGUGAUCCACAAGCCAGAGAGGCCAGAACCAAAGUGGGUAGGCCAGAGUGUGUGAAGCACCCCAUUCUCCCACUUUUUCUGCCACCCUUCCCCCUAUUUUCCUCUCCUUGCCACCUACAUGAAACUAGGCUAAGCACCCCCACAAAAUCAAAUCAGAGGGUCACACCCUUGUGUUGCAAGUUGCACGCCCUUGCUCUUAAGACAGAGUAGUUGCUUCUCAAACAGGUGGAGCUAUGAGCAAGCCUCAGUGGUACUGCAGGGACAUUUACAGCUAAUGUAUUUGGACCUGUCCAUCCAAAUUAUUUUUAUGAAUAUCUUUGCUCAUUGAAGUGACAUAACAUUUUCAAGAACUUCACCAACUAAUGCAGUCAUAAACUUUUGCGUGGAUGGGUUUUCAGAAUUGUUAGCUCAACUGUUGUUUCGCCUUCUGUCUAGCCACCAUCCAUCCUCCAACCGCCUCCAGGCACUCACACAGGACCUUCACUGCCUUCAUUGGUUCCGAUUUAAAAGAAAGGUAGAGCUGGGUAUCAUCCGCAUAUUGAUGGACACCCAGCCUAAACCCCCUGAUGAUCUCCCCAGCAGCUUCAUGUAUAUGUUAAAAAGCAUGGGGGAGAGGAUGGAACCCUGAGGCACUCCACAAGUGAGGGCCCAAUGGUCUGAACACUCAUCCCCCACCACCACUUCCAGGACAUGGCCCAGGAGGAAGGAGCAGAACCACUGUAUAACAGUGCCCCCAGCUCCUCUAGAUGGUCCAGAAGGAUGUUAUGAUCAAUUGUAUCAAAAGCCUCAGAGAUCCAGCAGAAUUAGGAAACAGUAUUAUGUAUUUAAAAUAUUUAUAUGUCAACAUUUGGAAUCUACAGUCAAAGUUCAUUUUUUCUUUUUUCUUUUUUUGAGAAGAGACAUGUUGGCAAUUCCCUUAGGGGAGUGUAGCUAGAGGAGGGGUAGGCAAUGGAAUGCCAGCCAGAUGAUGUUGGAAUCGGCCACCAUCAGCCUUAGCCAAUGAUCAGGAAUGAUGGAAGUUGUAGUCCAACAAUAUCUGGAGGCAACACAUUGCAACUAUCUUUGAAUUGGUUAUUACUAGUAUGUUAGCUAAAAGACCAAAGUGCCAGUUAGAGACGAGAUGAGUUUUCAAAAGUUUGGUAUAAUUUACUGAUUUAUAUAUAAAACUUCAUCCGUAAACCAAACUUAAACUUUCCUGUGCUGUUCAGUGCCUUACCCAUACCCCACAGUACUUAUUUAAAAAAUAAAAUAAAAUCUCUCCAUCUUAUAUUACUUCCUCAAACAAGGUCACACAAGACAAGUGAACACAUCAGAUAAUGUGCUAUAAAUAGGACAACAGUAUGCUAUGUCACAAACUGUUGAUGACAUUGUUGUCCUUCAGUAAAUAACAACACAGCCAGUUGGAUUUAUCUACUGAAGGUAGAUGCAUUGACUUUGCUAAGUGCAAGAACAUCACCACACUUUUCAAAGCAUGAAUGAAAAUGAGUGAAAAGUUCAAGAGAGUUGAAAAAAUGGUUUUUAAAGCCUCCUUUUAAAUAUAUGCAAAAAUAAAAUCACAAAUGUGUGAGUAAUUUCAUCUUAGCCCUUUUCCAGACGACUCAGCAAUAGUAAUCACAUUUUAAUUUCAAAGCUAACAUUGGGCUUGGAAUGUAUACUCUCUUGCAUAUUUUGUGGUUAAGCUGUUAUAACUCAGAUUUCCCCUUACAUUUGGUCAGACUAAGUCACAUUUAUUGCUCUUUGGGCUAAUGCACUUCUGAUGGGAGGUGCAUAGCUUCAACAGAGCCGGGAAAGAUGGAACAGUUCACACCACCCAAGUUUCUGUGAAAAAGACUAGCCACAGACUUCCCUACUUUGAAAAGUGAAAAAGAUAAAUUGUGGAGAGCUAACAAAAGAUAGUGACAGCAAGUCAUUUCAAUUGGUUUGAAGUGCAGCUGCUGGCAUUUUGACUGGAGAUAGUCAAUCAGGUCAUAUUACAUUGAUCUUGUACCAUCCACACUGGUUGCAAGAAAGUAUGAGCAUGAAUGGAAGUGCACGCAUGGGUGAAUGUGAAAAAGUGUGGGUUGGCCCUGGCCACCACUGGCAUGUGACCCCUAGGUAGUUUGCUCAAGUGGCCCUUGAGCAGAAAAGGGUGUGUGUUCUUGUAUCCUAACAUGGAACCUUUGUUUGGCAGAAAAGACUAUGACCUAAGAAAAUCUUUAAGAAAAACAAAUUUUAAAUGUUUCAAUGUUUUUAUGUUUGCAUUUCUAACAUCUGUACACCUAUGACUUUACCAAAAUGUCUUAGUAAAGCUUAUUCAUUUUUAUUAUUUAUUACAAUUUUAUCCUACUUCCCCCAAAGUGUUCAAGAGAGUAUUCAUGCCCCCUCCUUACCCUCACAGCAAUCCUAUGAAGAUAGAUGGCUGAGAGACACUGACUGGCCAAACAUUACCCAGCUGCCUUAUGGGCGAGUAUUAACUUGAACUCAGAUCUCCCUGAUGUCAGUUCCAUCAAGGCUUCAAACAUUGUACACUAUAGGAUCAGAAUAAUAAAAGCACAGAGCAAAUAACUUUGAGGCUUUGAAACAAUAUCACACAAGUCUGGUUUUUCCCAUUUCUGUGUGUCCAGAACCCCAGCAUACCUGGCGUCCAGUCCUGCUGGCAAAUGUUAAUGAGUACUCCAGAAGUCCAACAGAUCAGGGAACAUGGUCCAGGUUCAAUACAGUAGGCCGAGUCUAACAGUCAGGCCUGAUUCCCACCUCUGAAGCCAGUCCAGUGUUCAAUCCCCAAAAGGACAUUUCCAUGGAGCUCCUAGGACACCAAGCUGUGGUCCAUUAACAUGGGAAGUUGAACAGACACAGCACCUCAGCUCGGCUGCCCUUUCAUAGUUUGCCUGCUGAUUGCAGCAUUUGGGCUUGAUGAGGCAGAUGACCCUCACCUGUUCCAAACCUUCUCCAGCUGAGGAAUCACACAGCUCCUCCCAGAGCUAGCAACCCCACCUGGCCAGCUAGGGAGCUGGGAUGUGUGCCCUUGCCUGCCACAGCCUCCUAGAGCACCCCUCCCGCUGCUCCCUACGCCUCAGAGCCCGCCAUGUUCAUGGAGAUGGGGGCUGCUCUGGUGAUGCGUCCUGCUCCUCUGGUUCCUGUGCACUGACCUAGGGUUGUCAUAUUUCAAAAAGUGAAAAUCCAGACGCAUAAGUUGUUGAGCUUUUUAGAAAAUUUGUCAAAAAUCAACACUUCUGAUAUGGGCUGCCAUAUACCCCAGAUUUUCCCAGACAUUUUAACUAAUUUCUGAAAAUUCUACCCAGGUGCUAUUUUCAAACGUAUGGCAGCCCUAACUGACCUCCAUCUGUUUGCCAUCCUCUGUCACCCCAUGAGUGCUUUCUACACCCCCAAUCUCUGCUUCUCCACCCUCAGAUUGCUCCAGUGUGUACCAGUCAUGGCUACACACCUCACCAGCACCCUCUUCAUCUCCCCAUUGUCCUGCCAGUUCAUGACACUGAGAUACUUUUAUUAUCUUCUGUACUGUAUAUUUUCAGGCUUCCUAAUAAAUUUAAACCACAUUCAGGCCCAUACCUUCUUUCAGUCCAACGUUACUUGUUUGCCAGUACUUUGAACUGUUAUUGUUUGCAAGGUAUAUAAAAAGUUGUGUUUUUGUUAUGAAUGCACUUGAAAGAAGGUAUUCAAGAUGUAAGCUUUAAAGAAAAGAAAUGAAACACACAGGAAAAAAUGGGGGAAUUAAUGUUAAUUUUCCCCAUCUUUAUGUUAACAUUUCUAGAUUCUUAAGACCAGAAGGGCAUGCUCAACUGGAAGCAAGGAGAGGUUGUUGCUUACAGAUGUUUGGUUGGUGAUACAUGCAGUUUCCCCUUGAAGUGUCUGCAAGAGUGAAAAGGAAACAUUUGUGAGGUGCUCUAUACAUUUUCUGUGAAUUGUAAAUGAUGAACAAUGUGUGCAUACAGAAUUCCUCUGCUGCACCAAUACAGCCUUAUGGUCCUCUAGGACCCUCCCAAUCAAAAGAAAAGUUCAUUACCAAAAAGAAAAGAAAACGCAGCAACUAUUUCUCAUAAAACUCACAACAGAAACUCGAGUGAGAAUUAAGAAGCCUAGUAAAACAUCCACCUUUGGAGUUUUAUCUCCUCAUCUGGUUUUAAAUUGCUUUCCGUUUCCACAGGUGUUUUCUAUAAGGUCUGCCUUUUUUGUUCUCACAGUAUGGAUGACAUGUUCAAAAAGCCUUGGACAGGCUUUUCCUCACCUGAUACUACAGAGACUUCUUAAGCAGAGCUGUGUGGGAGGUGUGCAGCUCCUGAAACAACAGCAUACACCCCCAGAGGCUCUGUCUGUCUGAUCGCUUUCAAACUACUGCACAAGGUCUAGCCUUUCAAAUGAAGGAAGGUCUGCCAUCAGAAACAACCCAAAGGGAACAAUGAAUGACGUACUUUGAAAGAUAAAAAUCAAUGCCAGGGCAUAGUUAUCUCUGAUUUGUUUUCCCAUGAUUUGUGCAUUAGUUUAGUAUUGAACUGAGGAAUGGAUUCACCUCAUAGGAAUGCUGGAACUGGCUUGCCACACUACCGUUGCUGGGAGUUAUAUAUAGAAUCAGGUUUAUCUUGUAACAAUGGGAUUUUCUCUAUUAUGAAACUUAUUUAAUUCUCGCAUAAAAAUAAGGAGGGAGGAAUAUAUGCGGAAAGUGUCAUUACAAAGUUUUAUCCAGGGUGAAGCAGGAGUUUCCUUUUGCUGUUCUGUUCUUGUUUAAGAGAGAGAGAGAGAGAGAGUUCUUGUCCAUUCAUGUGUCCUAUAAGCAUUUCAUAUACUAGUUUUUUGUUACCAAGCUUAGCAUACAGCUCAGCCAUCCCCCCACUUAUACACAGAUGCACAAGUUGAUUGUGUGCAUGUGCAGCACUGGGAAAUACAAAACAAUUCAGACCUGGAAAUGGCAGGAGAGAACAGGACAGUGCUUGUGGCUCAUGAGGAAACCCUCCCUGGAGCCCAAAUAUAUGUCAGUGAGGGCAGAGGAAGCUCCAGAGAGAACAAAGGCACAGCAUGGCCUUGUUUACUCUGCUCAGUAUCCCUACCUAACAGCUGAUGAGCAGCAGCCACCACUUUCCUGCACAUCCUCCAGCUUCCAGUUGUCCCCAGAGCAUCAAUUCCAGUUGUGGAUAUUUUCGGAUACAGUAUUUUAAGUAUGGAUUGUACAGAGAGCAGCCGAGGGGGCAUUUCAAUGGUUUUUAGAGGGUGCUCCCCACUUUAGGCUACUUCACUUAUGAGUGUGGGGCAUUGGCAGGUCACAACUACAACCUUUAUUGCAACAGUGAUCUAUCUCCGGAUUUCAAUCACUUCAGUGGGAGUUGCUAGUGGUCAUUCUUCAGGCUUCAGUCAUUUCCCCAGGUAUCUAGGCAGUAAAUUUCCAAGGGGACAUCUUUAGUAAAUGUAUUUAAAUGCAUGCACAGGGACCAUAAGGCACCAUGUCACACAGGACCCAUCAUAUUCCCCUCUGCAACUGCUGCUGAGGUUUCUUGAUUUAUAUUCCAGAUUUCAUCCUGUGAUUACAAAAUGAUUUCUAUUUAAAAUGAGUCAAACCAAAAGGCAAACAAUAGUCAUUUAAAACCACAAAGGGUAUUCAAUGAACUGUCAAUAUCCUAUUGUAGGGCAAUUUUCUAGUGCUGUAUAUCUUUAACCCAAAGAACAUCAGAGGAAGGAAGUCUAUUACAGAGUAAGUGAGUGCCACAUACAGUCAAUGGAGCAGUAGCUUCAGCAAUCCAUAAAAACAGUUUGGGAAGGCCUUAGGGAAUGACCUUUUUUAUACGAAGAGAGGUAUGACAUGGUGGAGGAUAUGUUUCUUGAAAUGUCCAGGAGCUGUGAAAGUUGAUGCAGCCAUAUUCCUCCCCCCAUCCCACUCUUUCUCUGGAACACAUAUCAAUCCCUCUCCUCCUGUCUGCUGGUAUGACUCUUUUGUUCCAAUUGAAUGACAGCACACCCAUCACUGUCCCAAUUUGAGCAGAACAUCCCGGAACUAUAGAAGCCACCCCAGUUUCUGAUUGCAUCCCAGGAUGCCCUGUUUUAGUUCCUGCGGGUGUGCGGCACCAAAAGUUGCCUGUUUUGGAGGGCCAUGCUCUCAUGUGAAUUACCUGGCGCCUGCAAGAACAUAGCUCCCAAAGAUGUGCAUUCCAGUUUUCCUCUGUGAGAUGUUGGAGGGUAUGUGACAGCUGGAAUCUUUCCUCUGUAUCAUUCAGGGAAUGACAAAUGGAAACUCUUCCCAUAUCCUUCUGCCCACACACUGAGAAGAAAUGAGGGCAGAUGAAUUCUCAAAGGUACACAAAGCAAAGUUUAUGUAGUCAACUAUUUAAGGGGCCCUCCAAAUGCAACUCUAUAGGGUCAUCUGCAGAUGGCCCAAAGUGGGGGCUUAUCUCUUCCCUUCUCCACUGCAAUCAGAACAGCAAUCCAUCCUCCACAAGGCUAGGAACCUUGUGGGGAAAAGGCCCCACUGGCAGUACAAAGGUUCCUAGCAGCACCUGUGAUUCAUGAAGGAAAAAUCAGAUAUGUCAGCUCAAACUGUUACUGCUUAUGGCCAAAACCCUUUGCAAAACUUCAAACUGGCUCAAAGGUAUGCAGCAAAUCGAAUUUGCACAUGCAAAUACUAAAAAUGCUACAUGUAUAAACCACAUCACAUAAAAGCCAGAAUCAUGUUGUUUUUAUAAAAAAUCCAACUACAAUAAAACAAUUGAUAAGGGAG
Podarcis lilfordi (Lilford's wall lizard) is the source of this 13329-nucleotide non-coding RNA. The record is from the annotation of a GenBank genome assembly. NCBI's taxonomy places the organism in Eukaryota, Metazoa, Chordata, Lepidosauria, Squamata, Lacertidae.